Cavia porcellus (domestic guinea pig) is the source of this 1300-nucleotide long non-coding RNA. RefSeq lists it as uncharacterized. NCBI's taxonomy places the organism in Eukaryota, Metazoa, Chordata, Mammalia, Rodentia, Caviidae. The record is from RefSeq and is a predicted model, not a curated record. The transcript has 5 exons.
CAAUGGGAAGGUGGCUAGUAUAAGCACUGUGGUAUGUCCUAAUCCACCUAACUAACCCUGUCUGGCACCUUGAAACGUCUGGCUUUUCCUAAUGUCAAAAUGGCGUUGGAAGGUAAACACUGAAUUGAUAGAGGACAUAGAGACAGCCACGGUAGCAGAACUAGAGACACUCAGCAAAGAGGACUUCCAGAGCUGUCUCAUAAAUAGCAAGACUGACGGGAUAAAUGUCUUCAGAGUGUGGUCAAAUGCAUGAUUUCUGAAAGUUCUCAAGAAAUGGGCUUGCCUCAGAAGACCCCAAGGAGAGGACAGUCAGAGAGGAGUGUCUGUCUUCAAAGAACUGCUGGAAAAUGCCAGGUCACUGCUCUGACACUGCAAAGAAGUGAUCUCUGUCUCCAGUUUGGCCUAAUGGCCUGUUAGACCAGAAGAUCAACCCCCAUCUUUGAUUGCAGUUGUGCUGCUGCUUUCUGAUUUGGUCUGGAUUGUGGAACAUCACCAUUUCCAAGCUUCCUAAGCAUCAAAACAAAGUCUUCUGAGGUGAAAAAAACAACCAUGGUCAGAAUGUUGUGACAUUGUGGACUUUGGUGGAAAGUGAAAUAACUCUCAUCUGUCCUGGAAACGACAAAGACAACCAGAACAGACAAAGCUCCAGCAAAGACUGCCAUCAUUUCCUCUCUUACUCCAUCUCUAAGAACUCUGGUUCUGCAAAUUGGCUGUGCCUUAUGUGAACUUCUCAAGUGCAGUUCUGAGUACAGGAGGCAAAUGCCUCCACGCUGGUGCAUUAAUUCAUAUUGCAUCUGCCUCAGUGCUCACCACUGAAUCCCUAAGUGUCUAGAACAAUGACUAAUAUAUAAUGGGCACUCCCAAUGUUUAUUAAAUGAAUGAAUGAUGAAUUCCUUACUGUAAUUCUGUGGCAUAUACUGAAAUUAUCCAGGUUAGUGUGCCAAGUGAUGGGUUUUUCCUUGAACAUUUAUGUUUACAUGCUAAGCAGUGAUACCAUAAUUGUAGCAAUUUCGUGUGCAAUUGUCAUAGGGCGAUAAAGGGUGAAACUUGAUAUUGAGAGCACAUUUCAAAAUUGGAUAACUUUCUGUAUCACAAUUUCCCUAAGCAGAGAACUCAAAGAUACUCACCAAAGCCUGAUUCCUCCAAGAUAGAGCUGGAGAGAACGUGGCUCAGCUCUAUGGAGUAUCAAAACCAGUUUCUGUUGAGCAUGAACUCACCAAAAUUUAGCAGAAUCUGGAAGUUUGGGACCCCAUUAAGUGUCUGCCAAAUAAGUGAAAGAAUAAAUGGAUAUUCCAAAGGG